This 368-nucleotide ribosomal RNA is filed under the name uncultured bacterium. Its description in RNAcentral is "bacterial SSU rRNA". It matches the Rfam family "Bacterial small subunit ribosomal RNA", at positions 47 to 398 of the family's 1533-position model. The record is from RNAcentral.
CCUAACACAUGCAAGUCGAACGGGAAGCGGUGCAUAUUCGCUUCGGUGAUAAUGUGCCGUGGAGAGUGGCGAACGGGUGCGUAACACGUAGGUAACCUGCCCUGAAAGGGGGGAUAACCACGGGAAACUGUGGCUAAUACCGUAUAAUCUCGCCGUGGCGGUGGUUACGGUGAGGAAAGCUGAGGCGAUUUGGGAGGGGCCUGCGGUCGAUUAGCUGGUUGGUGGGGUAAAGGCCCACCAAGGCGAUGAUCGAUAGCUGUUCUGAGAGGAAGACCAGCCACACGGGAACUGAGACACGGUUCCGACUCCUACGGGGGGCAGCAGUGAGGAAUAUUGCGCAAUGGGGGGAACCCUGACGCAGCAACGCC